This 500-nucleotide ribosomal RNA is filed under the name uncultured bacterium. RNAcentral's name for it is "partial 16S ribosomal RNA". It matches the Rfam family "Bacterial small subunit ribosomal RNA", at positions 30 to 523 of the family's 1533-position model. The record is from RNAcentral.
AUUGAACGCUGGCGGCAGGCCUAACACAUGCAAGUCGAACGGAUGAGAGGAGCUUGCUCCUCGAUUCAGCGGCGGACGGGUGAGUAAUGCCUAGGAAUCUGCCUAGUAGUGGGGGACAACGUUUCGAAAGGAACGCUAAUACCGCAUACGUCCUACGGGAGAAAGUGGGGGAUCUUCGGACCUCACGCUAUCAGAUGAGCCUAGGUCGAAUUAGCCAGUUGGUAGGGUAACGGCCUACCAAGGAGACGAUCCGUAACUGGUCUGAGAGGCUGAUCAGUCACACUGGAACUGAGACACGGUCCAGACUCCUACGGGAGGCAGCAGUGGGGAAUAUUGGACAAUGGGAGAAAGCCUGAUCCAGCCAUGCCGCGUGUGUGAAGAAGGCCCUCGGGUCGUAAAGCACUUUAAGUUGGGAGGAAGGGCUUACAGCGAAUACCUGUGAGUUUUGACGUUACCGACAGAAUAAGCACCGGCUAACUUCGUGCCAGCAGCCGCCGUAA